Molecule: ribosomal RNA, 387 nt
Filed under: Triticum aestivum (bread wheat)
Lineage: Eukaryota; Viridiplantae; Streptophyta; Magnoliopsida; Poales; Poaceae
Description: partial small subunit ribosomal RNA
Source: RNAcentral
CCUUUACAAGGUGAAGCUUUGGCGCUUCUUUUGGCGGCUCGAGUGGCCAAACAGCUAUGCAUUUCUCAGCCCACUUUCCUCACUGACAAUCUGUCUUUGGCGUCAUGGGCAGCUAGCAGAAAGAUUAAGGAAUCUACUACUCCUUGGACUAUAAGGAAAAUUCUGGCUGAUUUCUUCUGCUACUCCUCAGAUCUUCAGUCCCAGGUGUUUCACAUCUCUAGGGAGAUCAAUGGUAUUGCACACAAUGUAGCUCACCAGGUUCUAACAUCAGUGGUAGAACCUGAUAUAUGUUGUUUCGCUUCAGCUCAUCGGAAUAUGACUUGCCCUGUAGUUUCUCUUCUCUCUACUUUUCAAUUUCAGGGCUUUGUAAUUCAUGCUGUACGUUGU